UAACAUAAACCCUGAAGAACAAUCCUAGUUCUGUACGGAGGCCAUGUUCCCCAGCACGUCACAGGCAUCUUUCCUUUCAAAUCGAAAUCUCCAUCAGGAAUCAGCCGCUUCGGGAGGAUCCAGAGUGGAAGGCAUUGUGGAUGACUGACCCGAACCCUUCCUGAAGAUCACUGCACAGUCUGCUUGUGACAUGCGAGUUCCUGGAUUUG
This 209-nucleotide long non-coding RNA is filed under the name Chrysemys picta bellii (western painted turtle). RNAcentral describes it as "lncRNA (ENSCPBG00000016442.1)". The record is from RNAcentral. Lineage: Eukaryota; Metazoa; Chordata; Testudines; Emydidae.